RNAcentral lists this ribosomal RNA (465 nucleotides) under Vreelandella stevensii. RNAcentral's name for it is "partial 16S ribosomal RNA". It matches the Rfam family "Bacterial small subunit ribosomal RNA", at positions 338 to 795 of the family's 1533-position model. The record is from RNAcentral. Lineage: Bacteria; Pseudomonadati; Pseudomonadota; Gammaproteobacteria; Oceanospirillales; Halomonadaceae.
CCUACGGGAGGCAGCAGUGGGGAAUAUUGGACAAUGGGGGCAACCCUGAUCCAGCCAUGCCGCGUGUGUGAAGAAGGCCCUCGGGUUGUAAAGCACUUUCAGUGAGGAAGAACGCCUGGUGGUUAAUACCCAUCAGGAAAGACAUCACUCACAGAAGAAGCACCGGCUAACUCCGUGCCAGCAGCCGCGGUAAUACGGAGGGUGCGAGCGUUAAUCGGAAUUACUGGGCGUAAAGCGCGCGUAGGUGGCUUGAUAAGCCGGUUGUGAAAGCCCCGGGCUCAACCUGGGAACGGCAUCCGGAACUGGCAAGCUAGAGUGCAGGAGAGGAAGGUAGAAUUCCCGGUGUAGCGGUGAAAUGCGUAGAGAUCGGGAGGAAUACCAGUGGCGAAGGCGGCCUUCUGGACUGACACUGACACUGAGGUGCGAAAGCGUGGGUAGCAAACAGGAUUAGAUACCCCAGUAGUC